This 294-nucleotide unclassified non-coding RNA is filed under the name uncultured Ascomycota. RNAcentral's name for it is "sequence contains ITS1". The stretch from base 1 to 105 matches the Rfam family "5.8S ribosomal RNA", at positions 50 to 154 of the family's 154-position model. The record is from RNAcentral. Lineage: Eukaryota; Fungi; Ascomycota.
GAAAUGCGAUAAGUAAUGUGAAUUGCAGAAUUCAGUGAAUCAUCGAAUCUUUGAACGCACAUUGCGCCCUUUGGUAUUCCGAAGGGCAUGCCUGUUCGAGCGUCAUUAUAACCACUCAAGCCUUUGCUUGGUCUUGGGGCUCGCGGUUCCGCGGCCCCUAAAAUCAGUGGCGGUGCCUGUCGGCUCUACGCGUAGUAAUACUCCUCGCGUCUGGGUCCGGUGGGUGACUUGCCAGCAACCCCCAAUUUUUUUCAGGUUGACCUCGGAUCAGGUAGGGAUACCCGCUGAACUUAA